Molecule: transfer RNA, 77 nt
Filed under: Sodalis-like symbiont of Philaenus spumarius
Lineage: Bacteria; Pseudomonadati; Pseudomonadota; Gammaproteobacteria; Enterobacterales; Bruguierivoracaceae
Description: tRNA-Arg
Rfam family: tRNA
About the family: Transfer RNA (tRNA) molecules are approximately 80 nucleotides in length. Their secondary structure includes four short double-helical elements and three loops (D, anti-codon, and T loops).
Source: RNAcentral
GCGCCCGUAGCUCAGCUGGAUAGAGCGCUGCCCUCCGGAGGCAGAGGUCUCAGGUUCGAAUCCUGUCGGGCGCACCG